UUUGCGUCAACGUGGGCUGGGGCCAGUCGUAUAAAAGACUAUAGGAACUUUUAACUGUAGUUAAAGACAGAAUUCGCCAAUCAAAGUCGUGUAUUUCUGAGUUAACUGGGAUUUAACUACGCAAAAUGUAGUUAAGGAGUUUUAUACAACCGGCUCCUGAUCGUUUUAGUCGGACUCGUGAGUGUCAUUGAAACAAGCCAUCGAAGGACAUCGUAUCGUGAAUUAAACGCUGAUACGAUAUGACAAGGCCACGUCUGAAAACAUCAAUAAUUCAAACAUGCACUUGAUUUUAAUACUACAGAAGUUAGCAGACAGUGAUUCCAGGUGCUAUGAAAUCGCGGGAAAGGACUGGAACUAGAUAUGAAAUAAAGUUCCAUUUCAGUCGGUUG
This is a long non-coding RNA of Dendronephthya gigantea, 389 nucleotides long. RefSeq lists it as uncharacterized. NCBI's taxonomy places the organism in Eukaryota, Metazoa, Cnidaria, Anthozoa, Malacalcyonacea, Nephtheidae. The record is from RefSeq and is a predicted model, not a curated record. The transcript is spliced from 3 exons.